This 228-nucleotide long non-coding RNA is filed under the name Prunus persica (peach). RNAcentral describes it as "long non-coding RNA (PPER_LNC001879)". Lineage: Eukaryota; Viridiplantae; Streptophyta; Magnoliopsida; Rosales; Rosaceae. The record is from RNAcentral.
GUACUUGCAAAUUAUGGUGAGAAUGAUAUAAUUAUUGUGGGGGCAAGCUUGGCCAUGAAGCCAAAUCUCAGGAAAAGCCUACUCAUCGCUUUAAUCCUUUGCUAUUAUAGUGCAUAUUGCAAUAACAAAAUGAGAUUUCUUUCCAAAUAUGAACGGUAAGGCAUUAACUCAAACCCUUAAUAAAAAGGAGUUGAUGUCCCCAAAUCUUUUCAUCAAACCUAAAAUUUC